GCCCUUGCAGCACCCCGCCCCCCGCCUUAUCUAUAGGAUGUCCUUCGGGACUAUGGACAUAAACGCGCUCGUAAUAAGCGGAUCGGACCCGGGGGCGGUACCCGGCGGCUCCACCAAAAUCCUUCAUUUGGGGAUCAUGGGGCCGAAACAGGAUCGACGAACGUCUAAAGGGGUUUGCUUUGUCUCGGUGAGAUACCACCGUUAUCGGUUCACAUAAGCUAGUUGCAAAUGACAACAAAGCACCGAUGGCACUCGCAGCCUAAGCUGCGCGUAAUAUCGAAAUCUAACUCCUGAGGUUUUGCGACCUCAGGCGGGGUUCGCAGGUACCUGGCAACAGAAACCUGCAUU
RNAcentral lists this transfer-messenger RNA (348 nucleotides) under Yoonia litorea. RNAcentral's name for it is "Alphaproteobacteria transfer-messenger RNA". It matches the Rfam family "Alphaproteobacteria transfer-messenger RNA". Rfam says of the family: Bacterial tmRNA, also known as 10Sa RNA or SsrA, is named for its dual tRNA and mRNA-like properties. Its role is to liberate the mRNA from a stalled ribosome. To accomplish this part of the tmRNA is used as a reading frame that ends in a translation stop signal. The record is from Rfam by way of RNAcentral. Lineage: Bacteria; Pseudomonadati; Pseudomonadota; Alphaproteobacteria; Rhodobacterales; Paracoccaceae.